RNAcentral lists this transfer RNA (76 nucleotides) under Verrucomicrobiia bacterium. RNAcentral's name for it is "tRNA-Asn". The stretch from base 9 to 67 matches the Rfam family "tRNA", at positions 7 to 64 of the family's 71-position model. From Rfam's summary of the family: Transfer RNA (tRNA) molecules are approximately 80 nucleotides in length. Their secondary structure includes four short double-helical elements and three loops (D, anti-codon, and T loops). Lineage: Bacteria; Pseudomonadati; Verrucomicrobiota; Verrucomicrobiia. The record is from RNAcentral.
GCUGCCCGGUAGCUCAGUGGUAGAGCAGGUGGCUGUUAACCACUUGGUCGGGGGUUCAAAUCCCUCCUCCGGAGCA